GUUGGAAGAUGCCUGCAAAAACGAUGCGGAAUUACGUGCUGUUCUUGGCGAUAGCAUUGGCAAUCCAGAGGAGAUGAGGAAAAAGGUUGAAGACAGAGUACGGAGGAAGGGUAGAGAUUUCCAAAAGUCUAAAACGGGUUCCAUCCUUGCCUUCAAAGUCAGCUUUAGAGACUUCAAUCCUCUUGAUUCCUACAUAUGGUUUGAGCUGAUUGGAUCACCAACUGAUCGAGAUGUUGAUCUUAUUGGCAGU
Cucumis melo (muskmelon) is the source of this 250-nucleotide long non-coding RNA. RefSeq lists it as uncharacterized. The transcript is spliced from 3 exons. Lineage: Eukaryota; Viridiplantae; Streptophyta; Magnoliopsida; Cucurbitales; Cucurbitaceae. The record is from RefSeq and is a predicted model, not a curated record.